Molecule: ribosomal RNA, 269 nt
Filed under: uncultured archaeon
Lineage: Archaea
Description: partial 16S ribosomal RNA
Rfam family: Archaeal small subunit ribosomal RNA
Source: RNAcentral
AGCCCCCCGAGUGGUGGGGAUGAUUAUUUGGCCUAAAGCGUCCGUAGCCAGCUCGGUAAAUCUCUCGUUAAAUCCAGCGUCCUAAGCGUUGGGCUGCGAGGGAAACUGCCGAACUAGAGGGUGGGAGAGGUCAGCGGUAUUCCUGGGGUAGGGGCGAAAUCCAUUGAUCCCAGGAGGACCACCAGUGGCGAAGGCUGCUGACUAGAACACGCCUGACGGUGAGGGACGAAAGCUGGGGUAGCGAAUCGGAUUAGAGACCCGUGUAGUCC